GCUAAGUACAGAGCACAUCCAGGUACUCAGUACAUCCCCUCCCCUCGGAUUUUUCCAAAGGGAAAAUGAGCUGUAACAGUUCUCCUGAGGGCAGGGAAGGCAGGAGAGCUCCCUAACAACUGAGUUCUCUGACUGUAGCCAGCUCUCAGUGGCUGGGAGACACACCAGGAGAGCAGACACACAAAAACCAGCUCCUGGUUUACUGGGAGCACCAGCAAGCAUAUAUUCCUUUUAAAUAUUCCUCAUUUACCUGCCUGAGGGGUUUUCCCUCAUUCCUGCACCUGCCUUUUUUUUUACACACAGCUGCAACUGUGCUGCUUGGUUGGGAUGUUAUGGAUAAACACACUUGGGUUCUACCUCGACCUGGCAUGUCUUGUGUGGCAUUUUAAGAGAAGCAGGUACCAAGUGGCACAGAGAAUUUACCAAGUGGGGUAAAUCCCACUGCACAGGGAUCCUGGUGCUUUUUGGGCUGCCUCCCACGAGAAAGUGCUCUGCUCCUGUCCUUAUUUUCAUUGAUGAGAUUGUGGAUAAGAUUACAAGUGACAGAGGGCAGAAUUUUGGUGGAAGUCUUUCCUUUCUCUCGUGAGUUCAAAUAUUUAAUAUACACUGUCCUUUCUUCCUCUUGAAGCUGAUGGUUUAGUAAACACGAAGGUUUUACUAAACCAAAACAUUUAAAGGCUGCAGGCCAGAACUGAUGCCUCCUGUGAGACAGAGCAGGCAUUUUAAACUGCCUGUUUCUGAAGUGAUGGGUGAUUUUGUAAUAACAGAAAUCUUCCUUAGUGACACACAGCCAGAAGAACUUCUGAAACACCUUUCAAUCAUUUCAAAUGAGGUCUGGAUCCAAAGGGGUGCAAUUUUAAUCCCAGGAGAGCCUGAUCUGCUGUGCCAAGUUAUGAAGAUCAAAUCAGGACAUCUCUGGACUGCACACUCGGUGACCUCAGCUUCACCAGCAGCACAGGCUGUUUCCUGAGUGCCAGGAACUGAUGGAAAACCCCACCAGCUGCUGCAGGAACAAACCCGCGGGAAUGGAAUCAGCCAGGUGGAAAGAACGGCCAGAAUUACAUCCCAAAAGCCUCAUGGGGAACUCUUUGCCACCCAGCACUCCACAGCCAAGGGAAGUGCAGGUCUUGGAAACCAGUCUCCAAAUUUUUACCUGGGAAAGGGAUAAGCAGCAAAGUGCACACACAAAGAAGAGGCAGAAUCCCAGAGGACUGGUCUGGAUGAGCAGUGUGUGAGUAUGGGAGAGUUCCACACCAGGUCUUUGAAAGCCAGCUGGGAUGGAGUCAGCUCAGGCUGCAAGUAGGAACUCGCUCGAAACUCAUCCCCUACAACAAGGGCUGGUGACCAGGGUGAGGAACUCACCACAGCCCCCUGAGAAUCCUGCACUGGAACUAUCAGGAGAAAUCCUUACCUUUCUCUAGGAGCUGGAAAAGCAUGGAUGGGCGGAAUCCUGUGGGAACUGCUCCUAUGGUGCAGCUUCCUAACCACAUCUAACACCUCAGAACUCCCCAACAAACCCACUCAAGAGAAAAAAAAAACACGUGGCUCUUGUACAGGAAAGAACCAAAGACCCCUGUGAGAUUUUCCUCAGCCCCGGCGGGCUGGGCAGCAACCAGCCUGCAAAGGAGGAGCAGGGAGACAUCUGGACAACCGGGAGAAGAAGGGAAAGGCGGAGAGGGAACUCUUUGCUCCUUCUGAUGCAGAGUGAUGGGGACGGAGGGAUCUCUUCCCACGCACGGAGCAGAGCCGGGCGACUCCUGGA
Long non-coding RNA from Lepidothrix coronata (blue-crowned manakin), 1762 nucleotides. RefSeq lists it as uncharacterized. Lineage: Eukaryota; Metazoa; Chordata; Aves; Passeriformes; Pipridae. The transcript has 7 exons. The record is from RefSeq and is a predicted model, not a curated record.